RNAcentral lists this ribosomal RNA (487 nucleotides) under uncultured bacterium. RNAcentral describes it as "bacterial SSU rRNA". It matches the Rfam family "Bacterial small subunit ribosomal RNA", at positions 28 to 379 of the family's 1533-position model. The record is from RNAcentral.
GACGAACGCUGGCGGCGUGCCUAACACAUGCAAGUCGAGCGGAGAUUUCUUUGGCACUGAGUGCUCUAAUAUUGACGUGCACCAAGCGUCAUGCAGAAACAACCUUAAUAGAUGAAAAAAGGUUUCUGCAUCACGCGUUAAUUAAGUACCGACACAUAAUAGCAAUUCAGGUUAGAGUAUUGAGUGCCGAAGAAAUCUUAGCGGCGGACGGGUGAGUAACACGUGGGCAACCUGCCUUGGAGUGGGGGAUAACACCGGGAAAUCGGUGCUAAUACCGCAUAACAUACACAUACUGCAUAGUGAGUGUAUCAAAGGAGCAAUCCGCUUUAAGAUGGGCCCGCGUCUGAUUAGCUAGUUGGUAAGGUAACGGCUUACCAAGGCGACGAUCAGUAGCCGACCUGAGAGGGUGACCGGCCACACUGGAACUGAGACACGGUCCAGACUCCGUACGGAGGCAGCAGUGGGGAAUAGUUGCGCAAUGGGGGAA